Long non-coding RNA from Anguilla rostrata (American eel), 2168 nucleotides. RefSeq lists it as uncharacterized. The transcript is spliced from 2 exons. The record is from RefSeq and is a predicted model, not a curated record. Lineage: Eukaryota; Metazoa; Chordata; Actinopteri; Anguilliformes; Anguillidae.
CAUUCCUUUAUAUUUUUAUGCAUACUGGCUUAGCUCUUUUGCGAAAUAACAAAUUUGCCUUUGUUUUUAGCUAAUAGUUGCCGGUCGAAAUUUUCACAUCCAACUGGCUUUUAAAGUUUUCUUACAUAGUGAACGUCAAUUAGAGGCUAAACGGUUAACCCGUUUAGCUGGCUAACGUUACUAGCUCGCUCGCUAUCUAGAUGGGUAGCUACCUGGUAAAUGUUGUUAGCGAUUGAAUAAGCAAGCUAACGGUAAGUUAGCCAACAUCAGCUAGCAUUCGAUGACCGUCGAAGACUGUAGGCUAACAUCUGAUCUAGACGACCGUCUUACUGUUUGGUGUGCGUCUUCGCGUAAACAAGGAGCGCAAGCACUUUUAACGUUUUAAAUCACUUAGAUUUAGUACAGGCAGCUGGGUUGCUAGCGAUCUAGGAAACUGGGGGACUUGGCUACCAUAGUUUCCGUCUUGGACGAAAAGCAUCACGUUUGUUUACAGUUCUUGUAGCUAGCUGGCUAAGUUAGCUAAUUAGCUUUCACUAACGCCUGCCAGUAAACCUAGCCUAGCUAGCUAAAGUAAAGGGAACUUAUCCACUGUCAGACAACAGGGAGCUGCCGUUAUGUAUUGAUAGCUAGUUAGUUUAAUAAAAUAAUAUUUACUAAUAACUUAUCAUAAUGAACAUUAAAUACUAGUACGCAUAAUAGUACAAGUUAGCUACUACUAGCUUGUUGCCCUCUCAACCUUUUUUUUUCUUAUGCAGAUGUACUAACUGCAUAUCACAAAUUAUUUUUUUUAGGAAGGCAAGAGCAGAGGUACCUUACUAGGUAGCUGCUUAAAGUGUAUUUAAAUCAAUGAAAAGGUUAAAAUUAGGUGAAAUAGUUUCAGUAUUGUCGUCGUCAUAUAUAUUUUGAAGAACUUGUAUCCUUGGGAAUAUUUCGUGUCUGCAUUUCCUUAUCUGUAAGUUUUGUCAAUACUUGUGCAUGGUAGAUAGCCUAUGUACAAGCCAUUUAAUAUGCAUCAUGUGGCUUUCCAUAGCUCUACUCUACUUUUAGACUUGGUGUUUCUUAAGUUGGAAAACACUUGAUGGAAGGUGCACACCUACCAGUUAAACACUUAUGUCAUGAGCCUCAGUAACAUUCACUGCAAUUAGGCUAUGGCCAGUGUUAAGUUGUCUACAUUCUUCCUCCAGUUGCUGUAUAAAUAUCAAUGCACAUCCAUGUAUGGGCCUCACUGCCGUUUCGCUUGAGCAAGAAUUGGAGUAGUGGAAUUGUAACGGCAGGCAAAGCUGGCCCUAUGGGGGAUUGAUCUCUGGGACUUUGUGGCAGGACUCUUGGAAUUGUCAGCGCAGCACCACUGCAGGAAGUAUUCUGGCAGUGUGAGUCUUCGGCGCUCUCAAUGUUGAAUGUGGCUUGUGUUGUACUUUUAAGACUUUGUUUUGUAGAGGUCAUGCUUUAUCUGUAGGCACUUAUUCUGCCAUGGAAUCUUCAGGUGGACAAAUGCCUUCUGGUCUUGUAGGCUGCUCCAAACAUUUGUUUCCUUUUCUUAGGUGCGUCGUUACACUGUAAGUACCCAAUGUCCCUUAUUGAUUUAUCUAAAGGUGAGGGGGAAAUAAAAUUAACAUUUGAAACACAACUGCUGGGAAAUGUAGGUUGUGUUCCGGUGAAUCAUUCUCUGCCGAAACGUGCGCUGGUGUUAAAGUCAUCGGAUUACCUCUUACCUUUCAGUCUGCCCACUUCAGCUGAUCUACACUGAAGAUCAUUGAGUGUGGAGCAUUAUCAGUAGCAUUUUCUUUAUAUGUUACUUCUGAAAGCAAUGAAACCUCUUCAUUGGCACUACAUAGUUAUUCAUAAAUGCUUGUGUCAAGAACCACAGCUAUUCAUAAGACAUUGCAUAACCACUAAUGCAUCAAGUGAUAUUACCAUGGCAUACCAAACUGCACACCAUAUGCCCAUUUGACUUUAUUUACAUACUCAGUGUCUGUGUUGUACUUGGGAUGAAGCUCUGCAGCUUUUAUGAAGGCCAGUUUGUCGAAAAUGUUACCAAAAUUUGAUGCACCGUGAUCCCUGAAAACACAUCUAUGGUCUUCAGAGGAUUUCUCUUUUUUGAAUACAAAUCAAAUUUACUGUCCAUAUUCUGGAAUAAAUGGAAUUUCACCAGUGAUUAAAAAAAAAAA